Molecule: ribosomal RNA, 468 nt
Filed under: uncultured bacterium
Lineage: Bacteria
Description: partial 16S ribosomal RNA
Rfam family: Bacterial small subunit ribosomal RNA
Source: RNAcentral
GACGAACGCUGGCGGCGUGCUUAACACAUGCAAGUCGAACGGAAAGGCCCUGCUUUUGUGGGGUGCUCGAGUGGCGAACGGGUGAGUAACACGUGAGUAACCUGCCCUUGACUUUGGGAUAACUUCAGGAAACUGGGGCUAAUACCGGAUAGGAGCUCCUGCUGCAUGGUGGGGGUUGGAAAGUUUCGGCGGUUGGGGAUGGACUCGCGGCUUAUCAGCUUGUUGGUGGGGUAGUGGCUUACCAAGGCUUUGACGGGUAGCCGGCCUGAGAGGGUGACCGGCCACAUUGGGACUGAGAGACGGCCCAGACUCCUACGGGAGGCAGCAGUGGGGAAUAUUGCACAAUGGGCGGAAGCCUGAUGCAGCAACGCCGCGUGCGGGAUGACGGACUUCGGGUUGUAAACCGCUUUCGCCUGUGACGAAGCGUGAGUGACGGUAAUGGGUAAAGAAGCACCGGCUAACUACGUG